GAUGAACGCUGGCGGCGUGCCUAAUACAUGCAAGUCGAGCGAACGGACGAGAAGCUUGCUUCUCUGAUGUUAGCGGCGGACGGGUGAGUAACACGUGGAUAACCUACUUAUAAGACUGGGAUAACUUCGGGAAACCGGAGCUAAUACCGGAUAAUAUUUUGAACCGCAUGGUUCAAAAGUGAAUGACGGUCUUGCUGUCACUUAUAGCUGGAUCCGCGCUGCAUUAGCUAGUUGGUAAGGUAACGGCUUACCAAGGCUACGAUGCAUAGCCGACCUGAGAGGGUGAUCGGCCACACUGGAACUGAGACACGGUCCAGACUCCUACGGGAGGCAGCAGUAGGGAAUCUUCCGCAAUGGGCGAAAGCCUGACGGAGCAACGCCGCGUGAGUGAUGAAGGUCUUCGGAUCGUAAAGCUCUGUUAUUAGGGAAGAACAGAUGUGUAAUUAACUGUGCACAUCUUGACGGUACCGAAUCAGAAAGCCACGGCUAACUACGUG
This 497-nucleotide ribosomal RNA is filed under the name uncultured bacterium. RNAcentral's name for it is "partial 16S ribosomal RNA". It matches the Rfam family "Bacterial small subunit ribosomal RNA", at positions 28 to 507 of the family's 1533-position model. The record is from RNAcentral.